Long non-coding RNA from Hippocampus zosterae (dwarf seahorse), 600 nucleotides. RefSeq lists it as uncharacterized. The record is from RefSeq and is a predicted model, not a curated record. The transcript has 3 exons. NCBI's taxonomy places the organism in Eukaryota, Metazoa, Chordata, Actinopteri, Syngnathiformes, Syngnathidae.
CUUGCUCGCGUGACCAUAUAAGGUAAAGAGGCUGCGUGAUGUCAACGCCGGUCGCGGAAAAAAAGAGCAGAUCGUGAAGUGAUAGGCGGGGCUUGGCGAGAUUUAGGUUCACCAUUGGCUGGAUCCCACUGUCAGCCCCGCCUCUUCACGCAAAGAUGGGGGAGUGGCCAUUUUGCUGCUUGCUGUCGACAGAAAAUGGCAUCACAUUGCUUAAGGGACCAAAUCCAGAAAACAGUCAGUUGGUCAGUGAGAGUGUUCAUCAUCCAGCAUUAAUUCCGGACCAGCGGACGGCAGCCAGGCUCCACCAGGGACUGACAUCAUCUAAAAGCUUACACACUACUUCAUGCCCCCCCCUCUCCUCACUAAUCUGCCCCCCCCCAUUCCCACCCCUCAACGCCUGGACCCUUUUCCUGCCUGGCCCUCCAUCAUUCCUCCUCCUCUCCCUGCAUGGCCCACUUCUUCCUUCGUGGCGUCGCCCCGGGUCCAAUUCACCAGCGACCUGACACUCUCAUUUAGUUUCGAUAGCAAUGCCCCCGCCCCCCACCCCCAUAAUCCACCCUCCAUAACCCCUCCUGCCCUCCCGCACCCACACCUCACCUC